UGCAUUUAUUUAUCGCCAAAUCACAUGCGAGGUUCUCCAAACUAUUUCAGAACCAAAGGAUAGUUGAACAUAAUGUUUCCUGGAGAACCGAAAAGUAGAGCAUGAGAGACCUCACUCCUACUCCAUCCGUGGCAAUAAAACACCCAAGGCAGGUCCUGUCAAGUGCAGUGAUCACAAAGAGAGUUGAUGCGUCUGAGUCUGGGACUCGGUGAAGCGAAUACAUAUCCUGAACAUAUAACGCUGAUGCCCUUUGACAGACGGCUCAACAGCUCAAUGACAUCACUGAGUGCGAGAAGCGUGGUAUAAAAAGCUCUUUACGGCCAGUCAUCAUCAGCAUCCAGUCAGUUCGGAGGCUGCACUACACUUUAUUCCACCAGGCAGUACCGGUCAUCUUACUGGGAUGUAACUGCACUGCCAAUAGCGUGGAGUCUUCCUCUCCUGAGACUAGGAAUAUUUCGAAUUGCACACUUCUCUUGUUGUAAUCAAGUGCCAUUCUUAUGUUGCCUUGGAUAUGAUACUUCGGCUGAACAGAUUAACUCCCAAUUAUUUCCGGCUAUUACAGAUGCAACUUGCGGGUGAGGCCACAGUCCAGAGUACUGACCGACUCAUUAACUUCUCUGCACUGCUCCUUGCUGUAGGGGGUAUCGGUUUGUCCUCCUUUGGCACCAGAAGAAUGACUGAAGCAACUGAAACUGUGGCAAUAUUUGGAACAGAAGCAUCAGAGCAGAGGAAUGAACUGCCCCAAAGUGAAUAAUGGACAAAUGAACACAUUACUCCCAGAAUAUAAAGUGUUCCCCUCUCUACAUUCUAUUUGAAUAGACAGACUAUAUUAAGAGGAGUAGCUGUUUAAAAUGAUUGGUUAAUGCAACUGAUGCUUCCCCUCCUUCCUGAAGGGGAUCAAUGGGACAGUGAGAAUUUCAGAUAAUUUCUUCGUGUAUGACCACUCCUUCAUUGGGAGAGAGUGUUCACUGAGGUUCAGAGCAAAGUUUCAAUGUGAUCAAGCAGCAACCAAGUUACACAUGGAAUAGAGUCAAAAAGUGUGGUGCUGGAAAAGCACGGCAGGUCAGACAGCAUCCGAGGAGCAGAGGAGUCUAUGUUUCGGGCAUAAGCCCUUCAUCAGGAAUGUUGCUGAAGGGCAUAAGCUCAUGUUGAGGAGAUGUUAUAAGAUGAAAGGCUUAUGCCCGAACAUAGACUGUCCUGCUCCUCGGAUGCUGCCUUAUUUGCUGUGCUUUUUCCAAAGCCACACUUUUUGACUCUGAUUUCCAGCAUCUACAGUCCUCACUUUCUCCUUAGGUAUGGAAAAUCUUAACAAAGUUUAUACUGACAGCAAAUAUGAUCAUUGCAUAUUCGAGUGUUCAGAGUCAAGUGUAACCCAUAAUUCUGUUGGCCUGUGUACCCCAUCAGUCGUAAUACUAGAUCUUUUUAGCAGUGUGACCCACCAGAUUGCUGGGUUCAAGAACCACGUUGCUGAGAGUGGAGGGUUAGUCAUUUGAACUCAUUUCUGUAAAGCACUGUAGCCUCAUUCAGCAUAUUUUCGAUAUUUAGGAGUGGUUUAGAAAUUAAAGGUUGGUGUGUUGCAUCAUUGGAGUUGCUGACCCUUUGGAAAGUUCUAAUGUCUCCAAGAUUUAAAGAUGGCCUCCUGGAUUCUGCGAUAGAUAAAUUUGGGGGAUAAUCAGAGGAGCAUUACUUUUCUUUGAACAUCUGUGACUUUUUUUUGUAUCAAUAAACAGAUGGGGGAUAUGUUAUUUGUUUGGCUGGGGCAGUUGGAGGAGAGAGAUCAUGUGGUAAAGCCUCUGGGUACAUAUCCACUCAGAGUUGGCAACCCUAAUUAUCAGACAAACUGAACUGUUUAAAACCAGCUGUUCAGACAAGGUCAGAAUGAGAAAUGCUGUCAAAUUGCCCCAUGAAAGGCAGAUGUGCCUCAGUUCGGGUCAGACUGUCUAUUGUGUUUGUCUCACAUUUGGGAAAGACUGCAAUCAAGGAGCCUGUAACAAAUCUAACUCAAAUAAGUAGUUAAUAGAUACGUAUAAUUAAUAGGUAACAAGCACAGCACCUUGAACAGCAACUUUGUCUGCAAAGUUGAGGAAAUUGCGACUGCUGUAGUGUUAAUCUCUGCCAGUGAGUGGUGCUAGUGAGCACAUACAUCAGUGACCCCCCACCCCCCCUGCUGGCGAAUUGACGGAGUUUAUGAACGUCUCCUCCUGAUGGAUGGAGAUAGAAGCGAUGGGAACGACGAUAUUGGCAAAGUUUUGUGAGUUAAAUUUGAUUUAAGAAUUGCUCUGAGUUGUGAGGCAAAUGCAUUUUCUUCCAACUUUGCCAUUCAAAUAAACGUUUUAACAUGUUACUUUCAUAUCAGAAUGAAAUGCCCUAAUACUGAAUUAAAAUUGGC
Hemiscyllium ocellatum (epaulette shark) is the source of this 2389-nucleotide long non-coding RNA. RefSeq lists it as uncharacterized. The transcript has 3 exons. The record is from RefSeq and is a predicted model, not a curated record. NCBI's taxonomy places the organism in Eukaryota, Metazoa, Chordata, Chondrichthyes, Orectolobiformes, Hemiscylliidae.